ACAGUGUUGCCCCUAGUUCUGGUCAUCAUGUUUUAAUGAAGAUAUGAAUAGGACUGGAAGAUGCUGUUCUGGGGGAAUAAGAACCAGGGAAUGCUGGGAAUGACUCCUGCUGUUUGUGUCCCAGGUAACGGAGGACAGAAGUCUGCAGCCAGAUCCUCUAACCUCCAUGUCUUCUCCUGGGGGUAACUUGUGCUACCAACCUCCCUGUGCAUCUUCACUCCGUCCAAACUUGGUGAAAGAAGGAAAAAGUCUCAGCUCCUAACUUCUGAAUCUGCAAAACAACUGCUGAAAAACUCAAGAGUCUUUUUCUUCCGAGGAGCAAGAAAGUGUAUGAAAAUGUGAUCUCAGAGAAAAAGCUGAAGAUGUUUUCCAAAUUAUCCCAGUGCUGCUACACUGAUGCAAAGAACCCAUGAGACCAGGUCGGGGAAAACAUACAAGCUCUGUGGCCACACAGACGAAGAAAGAAAGCUAUAACAGAUAAAUAAAGCCACACAAAAUGUAUUUCCAUUACCAAGAGGAAUUAAGCAAUUACUAGUACUAUUAAUUUGCUUCUCUAUCUCAAGAAUACUUACUCCCGCAAAGGAAAGGGGGAAAAUAAUUUUAGCCAUUUACAGAGAGCUCUUCAGUGGCAGUUUUAAAAAUUCCAGCAAACAGGAUGCUUUGAUCUCCUAGAAAAACCUAGGGUGCAUCUAACCAGAUAGCAAUUAUUAUGCUACCAAUUUCUAGCUGUUUCUGUCUGUCUAGAUUGAUGUUGAAAAUAUGUCUGUCUAUUCAUAUAUGUAUAGUCAUGUCCAGAUAUUCACAAACAUAUACAUACAUAUUUUAAACACCCCAUACUAACGUGCAAA
Sphaerodactylus townsendi is the source of this 848-nucleotide long non-coding RNA. RefSeq lists it as uncharacterized. The transcript has 3 exons. The record is from RefSeq and is a predicted model, not a curated record. NCBI's taxonomy places the organism in Eukaryota, Metazoa, Chordata, Lepidosauria, Squamata, Sphaerodactylidae.